RNAcentral lists this ribosomal RNA (914 nucleotides) under Zunongwangia sp. CPA-8. RNAcentral's name for it is "bacterial SSU rRNA". It matches the Rfam family "Bacterial small subunit ribosomal RNA", at positions 56 to 963 of the family's 1533-position model. Lineage: Bacteria; Pseudomonadati; Bacteroidota; Flavobacteriia; Flavobacteriales; Flavobacteriaceae. The record is from RNAcentral.
UGCAAGUCGAGGGGUAACAGGAAAAGCUUGCUUUUUUGCUGACGACCGGCGCACGGGUGCGUAACGCGUAUACAAUCUACCUCUUACUGAGGGAUAGCCCAUGGAAACGUGGAUUAAUAUCUCAUAGUAUUAUGAAUUGGCAUCAAUUUAUAAUUAAAGGUUACGGUAGGAGAUGAGUAUGCGUCUUAUUAGCUAGAUGGUAAGGUAACGGCUUACCAUGGCAACGAUAAGUAGGGGUCCUGAGAGGGAGAUCCCCCACACUGGUACUGAGACACGGACCAGACUCCUACGGGAGGCAGCAGUGAGGAAUAUUGGACAAUGGGCGAGAGCCUGAUCCAGCCAUGCCGCGUGCAGGAAGACUGCCCUAUGGGUUGUAAACUGCUUUUACAGAGGAAGAAUCGCACCUACGUGUAGGUGUUUGACGGUACUCUGCGAAUAAGGAUCGGCUAACUCCGUGCCAGCAGCCGCGGUAAUACGGAGGAUCCAAGCGUUAUCCGGAAUCAUUGGGUUUAAAGGGUCCGUAGGCGGAUUUAUAAGUCAGUGGUGAAAGUCUUCCGCUCAACGGGAGAAUUGCCAUUGAUACUGUAAAUCUUGAAUUAUUAUGAAGUGGUUAGAAUGUGUAGUGUAGCGGUGAAAUGCAUAGAUAUUACACACAAUACCGAUUGCGAAGGCAGAUCACUAAUAAUAUAUUGACGCUGAUGGACGAAAGCGUAGGUAGCGAACAGGAUUAGAUACCCUGGUAGUCUACGCCGUAAACGAUGGUUACUAGCUGUCCGGCCUAAUUGAGGGCUGGGUGGUUAAGCGAAAGUGAUAAGUAACCCACCUGGGGAGUACGUUCGCAAGAAUGAAACUCAAAGGAAUUGACGGGGGCCCGCACAAGCGGUGGAGCAUGUGGUUUAAUUCGAUGAUACGCG